Molecule: long non-coding RNA, 391 nt
Organism: Mercenaria mercenaria
Lineage: Eukaryota; Metazoa; Mollusca; Bivalvia; Venerida; Veneridae
Exons: 5
Source: RefSeq, a predicted model, not a curated record
GGAUGUGAAAACGAAAGUAGAUUAUUUAUCGUGGAAUAAUUACAACUGCUUACCUUUCUACGUGGAAUUUAUAUGGUAAUGGUAUGAAUUGAGAUGAUUUAUUUAGUUACCUUCAACUGGUCAGUGGUCAACAAGAGAGUAUUAUGGUGUGUCUUGAAGCAUUGAAUGAGCCAAAACAACCAGUAUGAUAAGAAGGCCAGAGUAUACAGCUUCCCAAAAUGUUGAAAGACUAAUCUGUUUUCUAAGGACUUGUAUACCAUUUAGAUUGAAAUUAGCCAUGGACAAUGAAUUUGGAGGUGCAUGCAGGAGCAUCAGAAAUAACAGACUUGGAAUACAUAAUUUACAUAAUCACGAUGUAUGAUCAAUCCUAUAUUGUUGGUAUAAAAGUCGC